This 315-nucleotide ribosomal RNA is filed under the name uncultured Endogone. RNAcentral describes it as "partial large subunit ribosomal RNA". It matches the Rfam family "Eukaryotic large subunit ribosomal RNA", at positions 40 to 350 of the family's 3401-position model. The record is from RNAcentral. Lineage: Eukaryota; Fungi; Mucoromycota; Endogonomycetes; Endogonales; Endogonaceae.
AUAUCAAUAAGCGGAGGAAAAGAAACUAACAAGGAUUCCCUUAGUAACUGCGAGUGAAGUGGGAAAAGCUCAAAUUUAAAAUCUGGCAGGUUUCCUGUCCGAGUUGUAGUUUCAAGAAGUGUUUUCGGUGCGCGCCUGGGCAUAAGUCCUUUGGAACAGGGCAUCAUAGAGGGUGAGAAUCCCGUUCAUGACCUAGAGUGGCGUACUGCGAGAUGCACUUUCUAAGAGUCAGGUUGUUUGGGAAUGCAGCCUUAAAUGGGUGGUAAAUUUCAUCUAAAGCUAAAUAUUGGCGAAGAGACCGAUAGCGCACAAGUA